This 464-nucleotide ribosomal RNA is filed under the name Prevotella sp. oral taxon G57. Its description in RNAcentral is "bacterial SSU rRNA". It matches the Rfam family "Bacterial small subunit ribosomal RNA", at positions 28 to 479 of the family's 1533-position model. Lineage: Bacteria; Pseudomonadati; Bacteroidota; Bacteroidia; Bacteroidales; Prevotellaceae. The record is from RNAcentral.
GAUGAACGCUGGCUACAGGCUUAACACAUGCAAGUCGAGGGGAAACGGCAUUGGGUGCUUGCACCGAAUGGACGUCGACCGGCGCACGGGUGAGUAACGCGUAUCCAACCUUCCCGUUACUGCGGGAUAACCUGCCGAAAGGCAGACCAAUACCGCAUGUUCUUCGAUGACGGCAUCAGAUUCGAAGCAAAGAUCCGUCGGUAACGGAGGGGGAUGCGUCUGAUUAGCUUGUUGGCGGGGCGACGGCCCACCAAGGCGACGAUCAGUAGGGGUUCUGAGAGGAAGGUCCCCCACAUUGGAACUGAGACACGGUCCAAACUCCUACGGGAGGCAGCAGUGAGGAAUAUUGGUCAAUGGGCGGAAGCCUGAACCAGCCAAGUAGCGUGCAGGAUGACGGCCCUACGGGUUGUAAACUGCUUUUAUGCGGGGAUAAAGUGAGGGACGCGUCCCUUUUUGCAGGUACC